This is a long non-coding RNA of Helianthus annuus (common sunflower), 927 nucleotides long. RefSeq lists it as uncharacterized. NCBI's taxonomy places the organism in Eukaryota, Viridiplantae, Streptophyta, Magnoliopsida, Asterales, Asteraceae. The record is from RefSeq and is a predicted model, not a curated record. The transcript has 2 exons.
UCUAUCGUCUAUUUGCGCCAGCGGUUUUUUCGAGUUUUGGGUUUUGCCACUGAAGUUUGUAUUCUUUGAUUUCCACCCCCAGCACAUAUCAGUUGCUAUCAAUUUACUAAACUUUGGCUUCUUCAUACGACUUUUGAUCACACAGGUCGUAGAGAGAGAAUCUAGACAGAGGAAGGGUGAGAGGUGGUUGGCACGGUGGACCACCGACGGAGGGAGGCGGCUUACAACGCUGAAGACGGUCGUCAUCGUUUUCCUCGGUCACUUGAAACCAGAUCCGCCAGCUGUGGCUUCUAGAACAAAGGCGUCAUACCGGCGACAACAGCUUCGAACGGAGAUAGCGAUUCUUUGUCAAGGAAAGACAGCACGGCCCGGGACCUGGUUGUGCGGUCGGUAUGUCAAGGAAUGGGCGGAUUGGCUUUCUGACGAACUCGGCUAGGGUUCCGGUAAUUCAAUUCAGGAUGACUUAUUUGAUGCAAUUGAAGAGCUCCAGCUUCACAAGAGGAGGAUAAAAGGUGUAUUAUGGCUACUCUUUGGACGUUAUGGAAUCAGAGAAAUAACAACAUAUGCAGGCGAGAAAAACAACUAGCUGGAGACAACAGAGGGAUGCCCCGAUGGGUAUCCCAAUCGAUAACCAGCAAGAGAAGAUGGAGACAAAUGUUAAGGUAAAGGAGAAAUUUAAUUUGAGAAGUAACUUUCCUCUGGUUAAAGCACUAGGCUAAACUGGAGUUUGUUAGUAUAGAUAAUGUUUUCUUAUGGAGUGAAUGUAAUAUUAAUGUAAAUUUUGGGGUAAUGGCUUCCUUCUAGCUCCUGGUUAAUUUUAGGAGAUCCAUGUUUUUUUUUGGUGACUAAUAAAGUUGUUUCCCUUCCCUGUUUCAAAAAAGAAACAAGAUUGUCAUUACUAAUCAAUGCAUUAUUAAUUUUUUUUCA